Triticum aestivum (bread wheat) is the source of this 866-nucleotide long non-coding RNA. RefSeq lists it as uncharacterized. The transcript has 3 exons. NCBI's taxonomy places the organism in Eukaryota, Viridiplantae, Streptophyta, Magnoliopsida, Poales, Poaceae. The record is from RefSeq and is a predicted model, not a curated record.
CUCUCUAAUACUUUUUGAUACAAAAAAAAUGUUCCUGCCGGCCAAGCGCAGCAGCGACGCCCGCUUGUUGGAUCAUCGUGGCUAGCUUUAUCAUCUAUUAUUGCAGAGUGUUUGGGCCGGCUGGCUCGCUUCGAUUUGGGGAAUUUUGGAUAAAGUCUGCUCUAAUUACUUUGGUUUAUAGAUUGCUGCACAUUCUUCUUAAUGGAUAAUUUAAAUCGAAACAAUAGUUAUUAAUUUUUGGCCCGCCAUCCAUAGAAAAAAUUUGUGUACUGUGGAGGUUAACUGAAGAAUUGUUCACCCAAAACAAUUGGACUCAAAGAAGCAGAGGAGAGAUGUGAGAAACUUGAGAGGAAAGUGACAAGGAAUUGACCCAUUGUGGUACAAUCAGGACCUUUGCUGGUGCGAUUGGAUCAUGCGGAGAUAAAUGGAUCUGCUCCAGAAGAGAAAGAGAACAUAGGGAAGAGAGGAGGAGACGUGCGUGAGACGGGGCCUUGUAGUUAUUUCGUUGCAUGUUCCCAAUGUAGUUUUUUUUCCUUUUUUCUUAUUUUUUUGUUAAACUGAUUUGGUUUUAUGCCUGAUUUAUGUAUUGCGUUUCUUCUUAAAUUGACUCAAAUUCUGAUAUUACCUACACCGGGGAACAAUGAUGAAUUCUACGGAGGAUGCUCAUGGAAGGAAAGGCUUUGUUGUCUUAACAAGGAUGGAAAGUAUAACAACAUACACAAACCAACAUGGACAACCCAAAUCUGGACAGAUGGGACCUGGAAGAUACACCACAAACCGAAGAAUAAGUUCUCAAAAGUGCGGAAGAGCGUUGGCGACCAACUCUAAGCUCCACUUACAAGGCAUACAAAACAGAUACAACUAGA